This 130-nucleotide ribosomal RNA is filed under the name Microcebus murinus (gray mouse lemur). Lineage: Eukaryota; Metazoa; Chordata; Mammalia; Primates; Cheirogaleidae. The record is from RNAcentral.
UUCUACAGCCAUACCACCCUGAACGCACGUGAUCUCAUCUGAACUCAGAAGCUAACCAGGGUCAGGCCUGGUUGGUACUUGGUUGGGACAAUCCAUCUGGUCCCUAUUAGGAAAUAUUUUUCAGUAGAUA